UGGAAGAACAGCACAAAAUGGAAAUCUGAAUUUUUGUUGAACGCACCCCCGUGAGGAUCAGCUCUGGAUGGAAAGUCAGGUUACUGUCAAAGGGAACAUCUCCUCCACCUUUAGAAUGCUGGAAGAAGAUAGAGAUUUACAUCCUGUAAUAUUUCAUGUGAUUUCUUGUACCAGUUAGACUGUGAUUUUGAGCUAAAAUAAACUUUGGUUAUGUCAAACUACUUAACUAAGG
Molecule: long non-coding RNA, 232 nt
Filed under: Phascolarctos cinereus (koala)
Lineage: Eukaryota; Metazoa; Chordata; Mammalia; Diprotodontia; Phascolarctidae
Description: lncRNA (ENSPCIG00000030946.1)
Source: RNAcentral